This 277-nucleotide non-coding RNA is filed under the name Zea mays. Its description in RNAcentral is "Eukaryotic large subunit ribosomal RNA". It matches the Rfam family "Eukaryotic large subunit ribosomal RNA", at positions 675 to 954 of the family's 3401-position model. The record is from Rfam by way of RNAcentral. Lineage: Eukaryota; Viridiplantae; Streptophyta; Magnoliopsida; Poales; Poaceae.
CUGACAUGCGUGCGAGUCGACGGGUUCAGAAACCUGAGAUGCGCAAGGAAGCUGACGAGCGGGAGGCCCUCAGGAGCCGCACCGCUGGCCGACCCUGAUCUUCUGUGAAGGGUUCGAGUUGGAGCACGCCUGUCGGGACCCGAAAGAUGGUGAACUAUGCCUGAGCGGGCGAAGCCAGAGGAAACUCUGGUGGAGGCUCGAAGCGAUACUGACGUGCAAAUCGUUCGUCUGACUUGGGUAUAGGGGCGAAAGACUAAUCGAACCAUCUAGUAGCUGG